Molecule: ribosomal RNA, 474 nt
Filed under: uncultured bacterium
Lineage: Bacteria
Description: bacterial SSU rRNA
Rfam family: Bacterial small subunit ribosomal RNA
Source: RNAcentral
AGAGUUUGAUCAUGGCUCAGAACGAACGCUGGCGGCAGGCCUAACACAUGCAAGUCGAACGCGCGUAGCAAUACGCGAGUGGCGCACGGGUGAGUAACACGUGGGAAUCUACCCAGAGGUUCGGAAUAACCGCGGGAAACUGCGGCUAAUACCGGAUGCCCCCUACGGGGGAAAGAUUUAUCGCCUUUGGACGAGCCCGCGUCCGAUUAGCUAGUUGGUGAGGUAAUGGCUCACCAAGGCUACGAUCGGUAGCUGGUCUGAGAGGACGACCAGCCACACUGGAACUGAGACACGGUCCAGACUCCUACGGGAGGCAGCAGUGGGGAAUAUUGGGCAAUGGAGGCAACUCUGACCCAGCCAUGCCGCGUGGGUGACGAAGGUCUUCGGAUUGUAAAGCCCUUUCGGCGGGGACGAUGAUGACGGUACCCGCAGAAGAAGCCCCGGCUAACUUCGUGCCAGCCGCCGCGGUAAUAC